Molecule: ribosomal RNA, 381 nt
Filed under: uncultured eukaryote
Lineage: Eukaryota
Description: SSU rRNA
Rfam family: Eukaryotic small subunit ribosomal RNA
Source: RNAcentral
AGCUCCAAUAGCGUAUAUUAAAGUUGUUGCGGUUAAAAAGCUCGUAGUUGGAUUUCUGUUGAGGAUGGGCGGUCCGCACUUUGUGCUGGUAUUUGUUACAGCCUCGGCAUCCUCUUGAAGAACGGUACUGUGAUUCAUUUCGUGGUCCGGAAUUCAAGACUUUUACUUUGAGGAAAUUAGAGUGUUCACGGCAAGCAAUCGCUUUGAAUACAUUAGCAUGGAAUAAUAAUAUAGGACCUUGGUACUAUUUUGUUGGUUUCUAGAACUAAGGUAAUGAUUAAUAGGGAUAAUUGGGGGCAUUCGUAUUAACGCGUCAGAGGUGGAAUUCUUGGAUUGCGUUACGACGAACUACUGCGAAAGCAUUUGCCAAGGAUGUUUUCA